GCCGGGCACGGUAGUGCAUGCCUGUAAUCUCAGCAGCUUGGGAGGCUGAGAUAGGAGGAUCUCAAGUUCAAAGACAGCCUCAACAAAAACUGAGGCGCUAAGCAACUCAGUGAGACCCUGUCUCUA
This 126-nucleotide small RNA is filed under the name Marmota monax (woodchuck). The record is from RNAcentral. Lineage: Eukaryota; Metazoa; Chordata; Mammalia; Rodentia; Sciuridae.